GACGAACGCUGGCGGCGUGCCUAAUACAUGCAAGUAGAACGCUGAGGACUGGUGCUUGCACCGGUUCAAGGAGUUGCGAACGGGUGAGUAACGCGUAGGUAACCUACCUCAUAGCGGGGGAUAACUAUUGGAAACGAUAGCUAAUACCGCAUGACAAUGGAGGACCCAUGUCUUUCAUUUAAAAGGUGCAACUGCAUCACUAUGAGAUGGCCUCGCGUCCGAUUAGCUAGUUGGUGAGGUAACGGCCCACCAAGGCGACGAUCGGUAGCCGGACUGAGAGGUUGAACGGCCACAUUGGGACUGAGACACGGCCCAG
RNAcentral lists this ribosomal RNA (316 nucleotides) under uncultured bacterium. Its description in RNAcentral is "bacterial SSU rRNA". It matches the Rfam family "Bacterial small subunit ribosomal RNA", at positions 28 to 334 of the family's 1533-position model. The record is from RNAcentral.